Molecule: ribosomal RNA, 439 nt
Filed under: uncultured bacterium
Lineage: Bacteria
Description: partial 16S ribosomal RNA
Rfam family: Bacterial small subunit ribosomal RNA
Source: RNAcentral
CUACGGGAGGCAGCAGUAGGGAAUAUUGCUUAAUGGGCGAAAGCCUGAAGCAGCAACGCCGCGUGUGCGAUGAAGGUCUUCGGAUUGUAAAGCACUUUUUGAGGGGAUGAGGAAGGACAGUACCCUCAGAAUAAGCCUCGGCUAACUACGUGCCAGCAGCCGCGGUAAAACGUAGGAGGCAAGCGUUAUCCGGAUUUACUGGGCGUAAAGCGCGUGCAGGCGGCGCGGUAAGUUGGAUGUGAAAGCUCCCGGCUUAACUGGGAGAGGUCGUGCAAUACUGCCGUGCUAGAGGAUGGGAGGGGAGGUGGAAUUCCGGGUGUAGUGGUGAAAUGCGUAGAUAUCCGGAGGAACACCAGUGGCGAAGGCGACCUCCUGGCCCAUUUCUGACGCUCAGACGCGAAAGCUAGGUGAGCGAACGGGAUUAGAUACCCGCGUAGUC